GACUACUUAUCAUAUAUAUACUUAAUGUGACAUUCUUAGUGUUCAGAUACAUUAACUUUCAUUUUAGUGGGUAAUUACUCAUCAAUUGAGGUGCCCCUUAAUUGGAGAAAGAUUCUAAAAACAUAACUUUACAGAAAGAAUGAAUACUGCAGUUGCUCUCCCCAAUCUCAAUAGGAAUAAACUACAAAAAGCAACAUUUUUUUUUUUUAUUUUAUUUUUUAACCAUUUCAAUAAUUAUGUUGGUACACAAAAAUUUUUUUAUAUAGAAGACUACUUAUCAUAUACUAAAUGUCACAUUUUAAGUGUUCAGAAACAUUUACUUUGAUUUUAGUGUAUAAUUACUCAUCAAUUGAGGUGCUCCUGAAUUGGGGGAAGAUUCUAAAAACAAAACUUUACAGAAACAAUGAAAACUGCCGUUUCUCUCCCCUAUCUCAUGUAUCCCCAUUGACAUUGUUUACCGCGAAAGUUGACCUACAAAUUAUCUGAUUAUAGCCUCAGAUUAAAGCAUUGCAUGUUGGUGUGUGAAUCAACUACACUGCAGCAAACAUUAUUAGGUUUACAUUUAACAAAUACGGAUUUUAAAUUAGUAUACAAAUACUGUGAAUGAUUUUUAUAAUGAAUAAAGGAUAUCCCUGUGUAGGUCGGCAUUCCAACAAUGACGUCACUAGGUUAGAUAUAUUUAGAAUAUUUCGUAAUACUGAUUUUUCCGGACUGUAAAAGAAACGUAUAUAGUGUAAGGGAAAGCUCAAUAUACGAUAAUUUCACGAGAUACAGAAGGGAAAUGUGUAAAAAAAUGUAUUUAAAGUCAAUCUGUUCUCCUUGUCAUCAAUUUCAGUAUGACAUUUUGAGGGGGUUUCCAAACUAUCAAAACAAAAUGAUUGACGUGAGGGAAUGAUACUCUGGCCAAC
This 908-nucleotide long non-coding RNA is filed under the name Mytilus galloprovincialis (Mediterranean mussel). Lineage: Eukaryota; Metazoa; Mollusca; Bivalvia; Mytilida; Mytilidae. The record is from RNAcentral.